GGCAUUAGCUCAGUUGGUAGAGCAGUUGACUUUUAAUCAAUUGGUCGCAGGUUCGAAUCCCGCAUGCCCC
This 70-nucleotide transfer RNA is filed under the name Candidatus Oceanisphaera merdipullorum. It matches the Rfam family "tRNA". From Rfam's summary of the family: Transfer RNA (tRNA) molecules are approximately 80 nucleotides in length. Their secondary structure includes four short double-helical elements and three loops (D, anti-codon, and T loops). The record is from RNAcentral. Lineage: Bacteria; Pseudomonadati; Pseudomonadota; Gammaproteobacteria; Aeromonadales; Aeromonadaceae.